AACGAACGCUGGCGGCGUGCCUAACACAUGCAAGUCGUACGAGAAAUCCUGGGCAACUGGGAAAGUAAAGUGGCGCACGGGUGAGUAACGCGUGGGUAACCUACCCUUGGACUUGGGAUAACUCCGCGAAAGCGGGGUUAAUACCGGAUGAUAUUCCGAUUCCUAAGGGGAUUGGAAUCAAAGGUGGCCUCUGCAUGCAAGCUAUCAUCUGAGGAUGGGCCCGCGUACCAUUAGCUAGUUGGUAGGGUAAUGGCCUACCAAGGCAACGAUGGUUAGCUGGUCUUAGAGGAUGGCCAGCCACACUGGAACUGAGACACGGUCCAGACUCCUACGGGAGGCUG
RNAcentral lists this ribosomal RNA (341 nucleotides) under uncultured Pseudomonadota bacterium. Its description in RNAcentral is "bacterial SSU rRNA". It matches the Rfam family "Bacterial small subunit ribosomal RNA", at positions 29 to 351 of the family's 1533-position model. Lineage: Bacteria; Pseudomonadati; Pseudomonadota. The record is from RNAcentral.